ACUUAAAUUGAAGAGUUUGAUCAUGGCUCAGAUUGAACGCUGGCGGCAGGCCUAACACAUGCAAGUCGAGCGGCAGCGGAAAGUAGCUUGCUACUUUGCCGGCGAGCGGCGGACGGGUGAGUAAUGUCUGGGAAACUGCCUGAUGGAGGGGGAUAACUACUGGAAACGGUAGCUAAUACCGCAUAACGUCGC
Molecule: ribosomal RNA, 192 nt
Filed under: Enterobacter mori
Lineage: Bacteria; Pseudomonadati; Pseudomonadota; Gammaproteobacteria; Enterobacterales; Enterobacteriaceae
Description: partial 16S ribosomal RNA
Rfam family: Bacterial small subunit ribosomal RNA
Source: RNAcentral